This 254-nucleotide ribosomal RNA is filed under the name uncultured bacterium. RNAcentral describes it as "partial 16S ribosomal RNA". It matches the Rfam family "Bacterial small subunit ribosomal RNA", at positions 524 to 776 of the family's 1533-position model. The record is from RNAcentral.
UACGGGGGGGGCAAGCGUUGUUCGGAAUUACUGGGCGUAAAGGGCUCGUAGGCGGCCAACUAAGUCAGACGUGAGAUCCCUCGGCUUAACCGAGGAACUGCGUCUGAUACUGGAUGGCUUGAAUCCGGGAGAGGGAUGUGGAAUUCCAGGUGUAGCGGUGAAAUGCGUAGAUAUCUGGAGGAACACCGGUGGCGAAGGCGGCAUCCUGGACCGGUAUUGACGCUGAGUGAGCGAAAGCCAGGGGAGCAAACGGG